GCUGAGCCAACCGGGUAUUGUGCAUAGGAGCCAGGUGUAUUGACCCUGCAGUGCUGGCCCCCUGUUAGUUUUUCAUCACAGCGAGGUAGGCAAGUCCAUUGGAUCUGUCCUUAGCUCCACUCCUAUACUUAAGUGCUGGUCUCUGCUAAUUCCGAGCUCUAGCCAAAAACCUCUACAAAGAUGUUGGAGACCUGGUGUUCAUGCUGAUGUUAACUCUCCCCAGCCCCUCCCAAGUUGGCACUGUCCAAAGCUUGCACGCCGUGACCUACCAGUAGUGACCAUGCCGGUCAGUUUGGCCAUCUCGCCGUGGCCAGGACAACUCAGCAAAGUACACGAUCAUGCUAUGUUUGUUCUGUGAUCACCUUGUCAUGGCCAGAACGGAGUCACGUCAUCGUGGAACUAGCGCUGCGGGCAGCCUCACCGUGGACCGAUCGACUGGAGUCAUCCCUGGUCAAUCUCGCGCACGCACCGAGACUUUGGAAGAACACCUAGAAGAAGUGGUGUUUGAAGGAGUCAACUCCAGUGGUUGCUGAUCAAGUGGAGGAGCCAUCUAACUGUGUAUUGGAUAGAGGGAUCUAGAGCCUCUUUACUGCAACAAAGGCAAGCCCCGGUGCAUUUGCCCCUUCCUUGUAUUUUAAAUGACUUUUAUACACUUUAAGACUAAUGAAAUGUGCAUUAAGUUUAUAGGAGUUGCUUGGAAACUAUUGGAUGCAUUGCCUACCUUGAUAUCCAUACCUUUAUAGAUAAUUCUAAUGAAGUAUCAAAAUAUGAUUUACAAAAAUGAUUAGCCCUGCUUAGAUCUUGUGGAUAGAGGUUGUCCUUUGCAAUAAUGCAUACCUCAGGGGUUAUCCUGACGAAUGAUGGCUUCUACUUGCAAGAAUAUUUUCAUUGGGAGAAUGGUGGGAUCUUACUGCAAAGUUCCCUAUAAUGCUCUUUUCAUCCUAAGGAACACAAACAAUCCUAAGCAUGGAAGUACUUAAAUCGGGACUUGGGUUAGGAACAGGUGAUGCUCCACCUAGGUUAAUUAAGGAUUGGAUGCGUAUGUAGGCCUGUAUGAUCAAGGACUAUCUUAACUGGCCACAUGCCCUGGAUAUGGGACAGGGUAAGCUUGAACCCGGCUAUUCCAUACGUGAAAAGACAACCGCGCACUGGGCUUGGGAGAUGGUGGGAGUAGCGUGUACCCUCCUGGCUAGAGCUGGAUGGAGGAGUACUGUGCUCCCGGGUAGCGCGGACCAGUUCACGUUGUGAAGGAUCUGUGGGAACGGUUGACAUAUGCAAGGGUUAAGUGCUACAUAUGUUGUGUGGUUAGAGAUCCUCAGCUGAGUAAAUCGAUUCAGAUCACUGUUAUAUCCCCGGAGAGUGGAGACUUGAUCUCCGACCUACAACCUAAGUCAGGAUGUAAACAUUAUGAGUAAAAAUGAUGUUGUAUUGAUGAGAUGGUGAAAUUAGACUAGAUGCAACCAGAGUCUAUUAAUAUUUAAUCUGGCGUUAAAAUAUUGAAAGUAAGGAAUCACUUUAGUAAGCUAUUUAUGCAAAAGUAUCUAAGUUGAUUCUUGCUAAAGCCUUUUCCUUGAUUCCUAUUUAACCAGCAUAUCCUUGAGAGUCAUUUUUCCUUAGUCGGGUAAGACUUGCGAAAGUACACUCCGUACUCAGGGUUUUCGAACCCAUGUUGUUGUAGGUGAUGAGGAGUACUCUAGGUGUUUCGGAGGCUGGAGGGCGUUUCCAGUUCUGGGGGAGGAUUAGUUAGGCUUGUGUAUAAGCUUUGGAGGGUUCCUACCUUCCUGUUAUUGUAAAAGGUUAUGCACUUUGAGUAUAUCAGGACUUGUAAUAAAUGUAACUCUUCCUAUGUAAUAACCUUCAGUUUUAGAAAUAAAAAUAAUGUUUUGUAAAGUCUUCUGCUCUUAUCUCCGAAGUGUGUGUACCGAAUGUGAUUACUGUAAUAUGCAUGUAUGGUGGGAGAUC
Molecule: long non-coding RNA, 1962 nt
Organism: Zea mays
Lineage: Eukaryota; Viridiplantae; Streptophyta; Magnoliopsida; Poales; Poaceae
Exons: 3
Source: RefSeq, a predicted model, not a curated record